This 120-nucleotide ribosomal RNA is filed under the name Rusavskia elegans. RNAcentral's name for it is "5.8S ribosomal RNA". It matches the Rfam family "5.8S ribosomal RNA", at positions 1 to 117 of the family's 154-position model. Rfam says of the family: 5.8S ribosomal RNA (5.8S rRNA) is a component of the large subunit of the eukaryotic ribosome. It is transcribed by RNA polymerase I as part of the 45S precursor that also contains 18S and 28S rRNA. Functionally, it is thought that 5.8S rRNA may be involved in ribosome translocation. Lineage: Eukaryota; Fungi; Ascomycota; Lecanoromycetes; Teloschistales; Teloschistaceae. The record is from RNAcentral.
UAAAACUUUCAACAACGGAUCUCUUGGUUCUGGCAUCGAUGAAGAACGCAGCGAAAUGCGAUAAGUAAUGUGAAUUGCAGAAUUCAGUGAAUCAUCGAAUCUUUGAACGCACAUUGCGCC